GUACAGGAACGCCUGGCCACCUGAACUCCACUGCUGCACGCUCUGGUACGCCGGGAAGUUGAACAGGGCAUCACCUAGGAGAUUAAGAUCCCUUGAGGUCUCGGCCGACGUGACACCGGUGAGGAGAGGGACACGUUUCUGCUUCCUACCCAGUGACUCAGCUGGAGCUUCGGCUACGAGAGGCGGCAGACCUCGGAGGUCAUCCGCACCUUCUACUCUAGCACCAGCACCUGGAAAAAUUAUAACAAUGCUACAUAGAACAUAUCAUUUCGAUUUGUCCGUCUGUUUGUAUCAUACAAGACACGAAAUUAGAGAUAUGAGGUAUUUUUUC
This is a long non-coding RNA of Helicoverpa zea (corn earworm), 331 nucleotides long. RefSeq lists it as uncharacterized. The transcript has 2 exons. The record is from RefSeq and is a predicted model, not a curated record. Lineage: Eukaryota; Metazoa; Arthropoda; Insecta; Lepidoptera; Noctuidae.